UCUUUUCACUCCACUGUCAUGGAAGGCGCCUAUCGGAAGAGGAGGUUUUUAUACCGUGAGACUCGCGGUGCGGCAGCGUGGAGACCUGUCGUAAUGCGGACCGUCCCCUGAGCGGACGGCUGUGAGUUGACCCUGCGUGGGCGGGAUCAUCAGAGUCAGGCUUAUG
RNAcentral lists this non-coding RNA (166 nucleotides) under uncultured Flexilinea sp. RNAcentral's name for it is "malK-I RNA". It matches the Rfam family "malK-I RNA". The record is from RNAcentral. Lineage: Bacteria; Bacillati; Chloroflexota; Anaerolineae; Anaerolineales; Anaerolineaceae.